AUGUAUUCAAAAGAUCUGUCUAUCUUUUAGUCGUAAUAUAAGAUUGAUGAACAGUAACAUAGAGCUGAAUAGCCCUGAGGAUGUGUUCCUUAAACCUGGAACACUAAUGUGCAGUUAGGUAAUACUGUCACUGUCACUUUUGCAUUAGUCUAAAUCACAAAGCAGUCUGAAAUAUUCAUAAAAUAUUUUACUUAAUGUGCAAACUGAGAUGUAAUAAGCUAAGGAACACUAAAACUGAUCUAAUAUUAUCUUCUUAUCAUGUCUAAAAAUAGUCAGCUGAAUUAUUUUACAACAAAUUAGAGUUGUUGUUGUUUUUUUGUUUUUUUGUGUUUUUGUUUGUUUUUUUGGGGGGGGGGGGUUAUUCUAAGGUCCAUCCAAAUACAACAUUAUUUUUUGUAAACAUUUCACAGAUGUGACAGAUGCAUGGGAGGGAAAUAAGACGUAUGUCCUCCUGUCAAAAAUCGGACCAUACAAGAUAUUCUUUCAAGACAUUUACAAUACAGCUCCCCAAAGGGAACUAGAAAGUGAGGUAAAGUGACAUUUCUUUCUUUUUGUUUUUAUGCUUUCCAACAAAAAUUGUUUGUAGCAUAACUAACUUUAUUUAAUUAAUUUAAAAAUGUAAAUCAAUUAUUUUAAAUCUCUUGUUGUAAUUCCAGGUUAUUAAUGCCUAUCUGACUGUCUUGGUAAGUAAAUUCAACCAAGACAGUGCUGAAAAAGCAUUUGUGGUUGAUACCUAUGAAAUGACAUGGGUAUGGAAGCGGAAUAAGCCAAAAAUUAAGGUAUUAAACAAUAUUCUGUCAUUAAGUUGUCCUUAAAGGCUUUGUAAUAUGUAUUAUCAAUGAGGUGGGUCUAUUUAACUUGUUUUUUUUAAUGUGUUACAGAUUGACCCAGUCUUCUACAAGUAUAUUUUGGGAGUUGUCAAUGAAGGUCAUCACUGGAUGCUGGUGGUUUUUCAUGAGACACAGAGGGCUUAAUGCAUCAAGAUGGGCAUGUGACACACUGCCUCAUCCUAUUCAACAGGAUGCAACUUCAUGUGGUGCCUACGUAUUGAAGGUAUGUGUAAGAGCAUGACUGAAAUAAACACAAUGUUAGCUUUUGAAUAAAAGGCAUGCAGAAUAUGGAGCAAUAAAGACCAGCUCUUGGAC
This 1145-nucleotide long non-coding RNA is filed under the name Oreochromis niloticus (Nile tilapia). RNAcentral's name for it is "lncRNA (ENSONIG00000025920.2)". The record is from RNAcentral. Lineage: Eukaryota; Metazoa; Chordata; Actinopteri; Cichliformes; Cichlidae.